AUUGAACGCUGGCGGCAUGCCUUACACAUGCAAGUCGAACGGCAGCGGACCUUUCGGGUGCCGGCGAGUGGCGAACGGGUUGAGUAAUAUAUCGGAACGUACCUUUCAGUGGGGGAUAACCGUAGCGAAAGUUUACGCUAAUACCGCAUAUUCUGUGAGCAGGAAAGCAGGGGAUCGCAAGGACCUUGCGCUGAUUGAGCGGCCGAUAUCAGAUUAGCUAGUUGGUGAGGUAAAGGCUCACCAAGGCGACGAUCUGUAGCGGGUCUGAGAGGAUGAUCCGCCACACUGGAACUGAGACACGGUCCAGACUCCUACGGGAGGCAGCAGUGGGGAAUUUUGGACAAUGGGCGCAAGCCUGAUCCAGCCAUGCCGCGUGAGUG
This 380-nucleotide ribosomal RNA is filed under the name uncultured bacterium. RNAcentral describes it as "bacterial SSU rRNA". It matches the Rfam family "Bacterial small subunit ribosomal RNA", at positions 30 to 407 of the family's 1533-position model. The record is from RNAcentral.